UCCUCCCUCUUUCUUCGUGCUUAACACAUGCAAGUCGAACGGAAAGGCCCUGCUUUUGUGGGGUGCUCGAGUGGCGAACGGGUGAGUAACACGUGAGUAACCUGCCCUUGACUUUGGGAUAACUUCAGGAAACUGGGGCUAAUACCGGAUAGGAGCUCCUGCUGCAUGGUGGGGGUUGGAAAGUUUCGGCGGUUGGGGAUGGACUCGCGGCUUAUCAGCUUGUUGGUGGGGUAGUGGCUUACCAAGGCUUUGACGGGUAGCCGGACUGAGAGGGUGACCGGCCACAUUGGGACUGAGAUACGGCCCAGACUCCUACGGGAGGCAGCAGUGGGGAAUAUUGCACAAUGGGCGGAAGCCUGAUGCAGCAACGCCGCGUGCGGGAUGACGGCCUUCGGGUUGUAAACCGCUUUCGCCUGUGACGAAGCGUGAGUGACGGUAAUGGGUAAAGAAGCACCGGCUAACUACGUG
Molecule: ribosomal RNA, 468 nt
Filed under: uncultured bacterium
Lineage: Bacteria
Description: partial 16S ribosomal RNA
Rfam family: Bacterial small subunit ribosomal RNA
Source: RNAcentral